RNAcentral lists this ribosomal RNA (301 nucleotides) under uncultured bacterium. RNAcentral's name for it is "bacterial SSU rRNA". It matches the Rfam family "Bacterial small subunit ribosomal RNA", at positions 505 to 805 of the family's 1533-position model. The record is from RNAcentral.
GUGUCAGCCGCCGCGGUAAUACGGAGGGUGCGAGCGUUAAUCGGAAUUACUGGGCGUAAAGCGUGCGUAGGCGGCUGUUUAAGUCAGAUGUGAAAGUCCCGGGCUUAACCUGGGAACGGCAUUUGAUACUGGGCAGCUAGAGUUUAGGAGAGGAGAGUGGAAUUUCCGGUGUAGCGGUGAAAUGCGUAGAUAUGCGGAGGAACACCGAUGGCGAAGGCAAUCCCCUGGGCCUGCACUGACGCUCAUGCACGAAAGCGUGGUGAGCAAACAGGAUUAGAUACCCUGGUAGUCCACGCCCUAA